This 336-nucleotide ribosomal RNA is filed under the name Salmonella enterica. RNAcentral describes it as "partial 23S ribosomal RNA". It matches the Rfam family "Bacterial large subunit ribosomal RNA", at positions 161 to 535 of the family's 2925-position model. RNAcentral also lists the same sequence under 2 other names. The record is from RNAcentral. Lineage: Bacteria; Pseudomonadati; Pseudomonadota; Gammaproteobacteria; Enterobacterales; Enterobacteriaceae.
AAUCCAUAGGUUAAUGAGGCGAACCGGGGGAACUGAAACAUCUAAGUACCCCGAGGAAAAGAAAUCAACCGAGAUUCCCCCAGUAGCGGCGAGCGAACGGGGAGGAGCCCAGAGCCUGAAUCAGCAUGUGUGUUAGUGGAAGCGUCUGGAAAGGCGCGCGAUACAGGGUGACAGCCCCGUACACAAAAGCGCAUGUGCUGUGAGCUCGAUGAGUAGGGCGGGACACGUGGUAUCCUGUCUGAAUAUGGGGGGACCAUCCUCCAAGGCUAAAUACUCCUGACUGACCGAUAGUGAACCAGUACCGUGAGGGAAAGGCGAAAAGAACCCCGGCGAGGG